RNAcentral lists this ribosomal RNA (450 nucleotides) under uncultured bacterium. RNAcentral describes it as "bacterial SSU rRNA". It matches the Rfam family "Bacterial small subunit ribosomal RNA", at positions 329 to 793 of the family's 1533-position model. The record is from RNAcentral.
UCCCAGACUCCUACGGGAGGCAGCAGUGGGGAAUAUUGCACAAUGGGCGCAAGCCUGACCCAGCAACGCCGCGUGAAGGAAGAAGGCUUUCGGGUUGUAAACUUCUUUUAAGAGGGACGAAACAAAUGACGGUACCUCUUGAAUAAGCCACGGCUAACUACGUGCCAGCAGCCGCGGUAAUACGUAGGUGGCAAGCGUUAUCCGGAUUUAUUGGGUGUAAAGGGCGUGUAGGCGGGAAAGCAAGUCAGAUGUGAAAACUAUGGGCUCAACCCAUAGCCUGCAUUUGAAACUGUUUUUCUUGAGUGCUGGAGAGGCAAUCGGAAUUCCGUGUGUAGCGGUGAAAUGCGUAGAUAUACGGAGGAACACCAGUGGCGAAGGCGGAUUGCUGGACAGUAACUGACGCUGAGGCGCGAAAGCGUGGGGAGCAAACAGGAUUAGAUACCCUUGUAU